UUGUAGACGACAUGAUACAGUUCGUACAUUGUCAAGCCUACGUAACAGACCGUCUUUGAAUGAAUAAUUUGACUGUUUGUGCUUGCUAAAAGAAAGCAAAUUCGCUUAUAUAUCCUCACUGUAUUUUCAUUACAAUGAUAUAUUAGUGUACCGACGGAGGAAACAUUCAUCAUUCUUCGAAUGCGACCUAAAUGUAAUAUUAAACUUAAAGAUUGUGUAAGCUUGAAUAUCUCUACUGAUAGAAUGUUACACUGCCUUGAUGAAAUGUAGAACUAAGAAAGAGCAUUUUCAGAAUGGCUUUAGAAGAAACAAAGAUAAUAUAUCAUAUUGAUGAUGAAGAUACCCCAUAUUUAGUAAAGCUUUCUGUACCACCUGAUCGUGUAACACUUGGAGAUUUCAAAAAUGUGCUUAAUAGACCUAACUAUAAAUUUUACUUCAAAUCGAUGGAUGAUGAUUUUGGGGUUGUUAAAGAAGAAAUAAGUGAUGACAAUGCAAAAUUGCCAUGUGUGGGUGGCAGAGUUGUAUCUUGGGUAUGUGUU
Stegodyphus dumicola is the source of this 539-nucleotide long non-coding RNA. The record is from RefSeq and is a predicted model, not a curated record. NCBI's taxonomy places the organism in Eukaryota, Metazoa, Arthropoda, Arachnida, Araneae, Eresidae.